UGCAAACCCUUCCUUCCACCUGAGCUGUGCUCCUAAAACCACCCAUCCCAAACCCUCUGGCACUCUCAGGGCUGAUCCCAAACCCUCUGGCACUCCCAGGGACCCUCUGGCAUCCUCAGGGCUGAUUCCAAACCCUUUGGCACUCUCAGAGCUGUUCCCAAAUCCCCUGGCUCUCAGGGGCUGUUCCCAAACCCUCUGGCACUCUGAAGAUUGAUCCCAAAUCUGCUAGCAUUCUCAGGGAUCCUCUGGCACUCUCAGAGCUGAUCCCAAACCCUCUGGGAUUCUCAGAGCUGAUCCCAAACCCUCUGGCAUUUUCAGGGACCCUUUGGCACUCUCAAGGCUGCUCCCAAACCCUCUGGCACUCUCAGGGAUUGAUCCAAAAUCUGCUGGCACUCUUAGAGCUGAUCCCAAACCCUCUGGCACUCCCAGGGACUCUGUGGCACUCUCAAGGAUCCUUUGGCAUCCUCAGGGCAGGUCCUAAACCCUCUGGCAUCCUCAGGGCUGAUUCCAAAUCCUCUGGCACUCUCAAGAUUGAUCCCAAAUCUGCUAGCAUUCUCAGGGACCCUCUGGCACUCUCAAAGCUGUUCCCAAACCCUCUGGGAUUCUCAGAGCUGAUCCCAAACCCUCUGGCACUCUCAGGAAUGAUCCCAAACCCCUCUGGCUCUCAGGGCUGAUCCCAAACCCUCUGGCGUUCUCAGGGGGGGUCCCAAACCCUCUGGCACUCUCAAGAUUGAUCCAAAAUCUGCUAGCAUUCUUAGGGACCCUCUGGCACUCUCAGGGCUGUUCCCAAACCCUUUGGCACUCCCAGGGACCCUCUGGCAUCCUCAGAGCUGAUCCCAAACCCUCUGGCACUCUCAAGAUUGAUCCCAAAUCUGCUAGCACUCUCAGGGAUCCUCUGGCACUCUCAGAGCUGUUCCCAAACCCUCUGGGAUUCUCAGAGCUGAUCCCAAACCCUCUGGCACUCUCAGGGACCCUCUGUCACUCUCAGGGACCCUCUGGCAUCCUCAGGGCUGAUUCCAAACCCUUUGGCACUCUCAGAACUGAUCCCAAACCCUCUGGCAUCCUCAGGGCUGAUCCCAGACCCCUCUGGCUCUCAGGGCUGAUCCCAAACCCUCUGGCACUCUCAGGGAUUGAUCCUAAAUCUGCUAGCAUUCUUAGGGACCCUCUGGCACUCUCAGGGCUGUUCCCAAACCCUUUGGCACUCUCAGGGCGGGUCCCAAACCCUCUGGCACUCUCAAGAUUGAUCCCAAAUCUGCUAGCAUUCUUAGGGACCCUCUGGCACUCUCAGGGCUGAUCCCAAACCCUCUGGCACUCUCAGUCAUCACCUCCCUGGCUCUCCAGCUCCCCACAGGGGUUCCUGCAGCACUGCAAGUUCUCCUCUCCCCUCCUGAGCACAGCCCACCCUCCCCUCCUGCUGUUUGCCCCUUCACUUUCCCUACAUCUCCAGCUUUUCACCCUCUGAUUGGCAAUUUCCCGAGCUGUCCAGCGAGCAGGGAAAUUCACUGUGA
This 1508-nucleotide long non-coding RNA is filed under the name Zonotrichia albicollis (white-throated sparrow). RNAcentral describes it as "lncRNA (ENSZALG00000016944.1)". Lineage: Eukaryota; Metazoa; Chordata; Aves; Passeriformes; Passerellidae. The record is from RNAcentral.